GAUGAACGCUGGCGGCGUGCCUAAUACAUGCAAGUCGAGCGAACAGAUGAGGAGCUUGCUCCUCUGACGUUAGCGGCGGACGGGUGAGUAACACGUGGAUAACCUACCUAUAAGACUGGGAUAACUUCGGGAAACCGGAGCUAAUACCGGAUAAUAUAUUGAACCGCAUGGUUCAAUAGUGAAAGACGGUUUUGCUGUCACUUAUAGAUGGAUCCGCGCCGCAUUAGCUAGUUGGUAAGGUAACGGCUUACCAAGGCAACGAUGCGUAGCCGACCUGAGAGGGGGAUGGGCAACACGGGAACUGAGAAACGGGCCAAACCCCUAGGGGAGGCAGCAGGAGGGAAUUUUCCGCAAUGGGGGAAAGCCUGACGGAGAAACCCCGGGGGGGGGGUGAAGGUUUUGGGAUCGAAAAACUCUUUUAUUAGGGAAAAAAAAAUGGGAAAGUAAAUAUGCACGUUUUGACGGUACCAAAGAAAAAACCCACGCCUAACUACGU
Molecule: ribosomal RNA, 496 nt
Filed under: uncultured bacterium
Lineage: Bacteria
Description: partial 16S ribosomal RNA
Rfam family: Bacterial small subunit ribosomal RNA
Source: RNAcentral